RNAcentral lists this long non-coding RNA (11953 nucleotides) under Capsicum annuum. RNAcentral describes it as "long non-coding RNA (CANN_LNC009440)". Lineage: Eukaryota; Viridiplantae; Streptophyta; Magnoliopsida; Solanales; Solanaceae. The record is from RNAcentral.
UCUUGUACACAUACUCCUUCAUUAACGAGAACACGGGGGAUUUUUUUUUUGGGGUGGAGGGGGGGUUGCCUCUUCUUCAUCAUCUGAAGGAACACUCCAUUUCUUGGAAUUGGUACGUAAAACACCACUCAACCUUACCACAAAAAGCAUGACCCUCACCUCAAUUUUCCAUGGUUUCUUAGGAAGGGGUAGACGCACACACACAGUAACAUACAUACACACACAAACCAGUGAAAAGAAGGGGCCAAAUAUUUCAUUUUUAGGGAGAGAUUGGAACAGAGAGGGAGAGAGAUCAGAGAAACCAAAUCGAGAGAGUGUUAGGCAAAGAAAAGAGAUAUGAGGGAGAAAGCAGACAGGGGGAAGUGAUCGGAAACUGGCAAACCCGGCCAGAAAAUGUUGGGACUCUCCAGAAUCCUUCUUGACUCAUCAUUUUUUUCCACCGCCUGAGCUCACCGGAGCUCAGGCUACACGGAUUUUGUUUUUCUAACGUGUUGACUGGCUUUUAGGUUAGUCUAUUCUCGUGGUUCAUUAUGGAUAUCGGAUUUCAGGGUCUUCACGAUUAAGUGGUCAGUAUUCGUGGAUUGGAACUCUGUUCAUCUCAAUCAGUCCAUCGCUAUCAAUAUCAAAGUUGGAAUUCGAUUUGGAGAUUCAUGUUGAGGUUCCGGUUUAAGAAUUUCGAUUUCAGAUUUUUUUAUCAACAACCAGGACAAGUUUCAUUGAGGUUCAUUUUUUCUCCUGAUCUUUACUUUAUCUUGAUUUUUUAUUGAUGUUGUGGGUGUGAGUGAUUUAUGUGUUGUGUGUUUAGUUUGAAUCUUCGUUAGUUGUUUGUAUUUGAUGUUCGUUUCAGAUUUUGAGACGUGAUUGGAUAAUUGAAGCAUGCGCUAAUCAUGUGGUUAAAAAUGGACUUGGGGUGGAAUCAAAAGUUUCUAAAAGUUGCAUAGUUAAAUUUUGGUCGAUUGUCGUUUUUUUCAAUUCGGGAUAAACAUGAAUGUGAUCGAGCUCAGAUAGGUAAACAUAGGUCGGGUAGCUGAAUUUAGGGAUUGUGAAUUGAUAGAAUACUUGAGUGGUGUGAUUGAAUGGUUUUUGACUAUAUUGCUUUGGGAUCACUUGUAUCAUUUGGCCGGAGAAUGCCCCGAAGUACUUGUAUUAUUUUAUUCGGGGAAUGGCCCGAGGUAUUUUGUAUCCGGAGGCCCAAGGCAGCGGGUAAAAUGUUGGAGCAUAGUUUAGUAUAGGUUAGAAUAGGAUUUAUAUUUUUUGCAUUUUUUUUACUUUGAACUGUAUAAUUGGACUGAACAUUAUAAUUUGGAUUUUGAUUUGGUUUGUGUUUGUUUGUUUGAUUGUUGUGUGUUAUGUGGUUUAUACAUUCGUAGUGUCAGAAUUAGCCAAUACGCUCCACCAAGAGACCGUGGUCGAACCACGGGAUCGAGGGGUGCCUAACACCUCCCCCUUGGUCAACAAAAUUCCUUAGCCGAAAUCUCUGUUCGCAGAUUAGUUUAAUGAGUCAAAUCAUUUUGAGAAGGAUUUUUCAACAGUGACUUGUCACACCGGAUUUAUGUCAAGUGGCGACUCUGAGUUUUGAAUGUAAAAAUAAUCAUUUUUUAGAACAAAUCUUCAUUUUUGUCACUUACUAGUAAAAACCCUUUCAAACCAUAAAAUGGAUCUUUUUGGAGUUAAAAAAGGGGUGUGACAAUUUUCAUAAAACUUCAGAUAACAAUUUUGUAUCAACUGUGUAAGAAAAAUUAUUCAUUGAAUUUGUUAUUUCCUACAAAAAGAAUUUAAAAAAUCAAGAAUAAAAAUAUGAAAUUCACGUUGACUAACGUAUAAAACUAUAUGAAAUUCACGUUGACUAACGUAUAAAAUUUGUUUCACGGAUAAAAUUUAUAUUGCAAGAAAAUAAGGAAAAAAUAAAUAUUUGUGUAUGAAAAAAUUAAGAAUAAAAUGUGGAUUUCAACAAUUUGAUCGAAGUGUAUGCAAUGAAAGCAAUUUAAAGUAAUUAUUAAUAUCAAUGAAAAUAAAGUAUGAAAGAACAAAGAAACGCAUAUGAGAGAAAUUUAUGAAAAGACAACAUUAUUAAAUUUUUUGAAAGGAUUAACUAAUAUAAAAAAAUUAUUUAAGAAAAUGAAAGAAGGAGAAAUUUUGGAUUUCUUAUAAUCCUUUUACCGUAUUUUCUUUCUUUUCUUUUUUACUUUGUUAGGUGGAGGAUUAAGGAGAAAAUUAAGAACUUAUUAUCAAUCCUUUAUUUUAGAAAAUAGAUGAGGGAGAAAGAUAAAUUCAAAUAUUUAAGAGAGAUUUUAACUGAUUAUAUAUAUAUUUAAAAAUUGCUAUAGCUUACAAUUAAAAACUUAAUUCAACAAAUAUAGAAAAAAAUAUAGUUACAAUGUACAAUAAAUAAUUUAAAAAGUACAUACAAAAUAAUUUUUACAUAAAAUAAUGGUAAAUUGACACAAUGUAACAAUUUAUGAUCCAAUUUGACAUCUAAUAACGAUAUUUAACAUUUCUAGCCGAAAUAAAUAACCCAUAAACUUUUUCUCUUUCUAUGAAUUGUUCUACAGUAUAUAUGAAUCAUUUUUCCAAUUUUUUUGGAAAAUCAAGUGAUUUAAGAAUCCAAAGGAAAAACACACCAGUUUUUUGUUCCCCCAUUAACGUGCAUGCAUGCGGUGCAGAAACAACUGCAGAAAUGUGAAAUGCGGCCUCGAAAGGGAUGCAAACCUUCGAGGAAAUAACACACUAUUUUGAGAAAAAGUAUGAUUUUUUGGAUGGUUGUGGUUGUUCGGAAAAGAUACACUUUUUCAAAUGGACAGUGUUAGGAAUCAGGCAGAAAUAAAGCAAACCACAAGCAAAAAGAAAAUAAGAGCACACAGAUUUAUGUGAAAAUCCUUGCAGAAAAAACUACGGGCAGAGGCAGAGGAUGUUUCACUAUAAUGAAAGGAGAGGAGUACAAUGUGGAGAAUGAGUAUUUUCUGGGUACCCAAAACAACCCAGUAAAUGCACUUAUAUAAUAUGUGCAUGCAAAAAAGUCCUAGGCCCAGAAAACAUAAAGGUGUAUGGGUCUAUCGACCCGAUUCCUAUGCUACAACCACAGACCCCAUUGAAAAUCACAAACAUGGAUCGCACCACGAAACUUUCUGGGCCGGAUCAAUAAAAUUAGGGUCACAACUCUAACAAUCUCCACCUUGACAUGAAUUCUAAUUCAGAACUCAAAUCCAUUUCAAGACAAACUCUCCACCCCUUCCACAAAAGCCCCUAAGGGCAUAUCUUAACAGCUAACACUAACCAAGUCCAAGCAAUGCUCAAACUUGGCACAUGGUAGUGUCUUGGUCAUCAUAUCAAUAGGAUUAUCAUAAGUACUAAUCUUGCUCACCACAAUAUCACCACGAGCAAUAAUUUCACGCACAAAAUAAUACCAAAACAUCAAUGUGCUUUGUCCUCUCAUGACCCAUCAGAUCUUUCAUAAGGAAGAUAACACUCUAACUGUCGCAAAAGGCUAUUGCAAUCUGUAAGUCUUUGCUAAGUUUACCAAACAGACCUUUCAACCAAAUAGCUUCCUUUAAAGCCUCUAUAAUAGCCAUAUACUUUACCUCAGUAGUUGACAAAGCAACCGUAGUCUGUAAGGUAGCUUUCCAACUAAUAGCACAACUACCAAUGGUGAAAACAUAGCUGUAAGAGAUCUCCUUUUAUCAUGAUCUCCUGUAAAAUCAGAAUAAGCAUACCCGAUUACUCUAUCUCUAUAUCUCCCAAAAUGCAAACAAACAUCAGCAGAUCCAUGCAAGUAUCUGAAAAUUCACUGAACUGCUUUCCAAUGUUCUUUGCUAGGAUUUUCCAUGUAUUUGCUAACUAAACUAAUGACAUAAGAUAAAUUUGGUUGUGAACACACCAUCACAUACAUAAGAGACCCGAUAGCACUAGAGUAUGGAAAUCGCGAUGUAUAGUCACACUCAUCAUCUAUUUUUGGAGAUAAAGUGGCCAAGAGUUUAAAGUGAGCUGCCAAUGGAGUACUUACAGGUUUGGCAUUUUGCAUAUUGAACCUGUGAAAUACUUUUUUAAUUUGUUCUUUCUGACUCCAGUAUAACUUACAAUUCUUUCCAUCCCUCAGAAUUUCCAUACCAAGAAUCUUCUUUGCUUCACUUAGAUUCUUCAUAUCAAACUCCUUUCUGAGCUGGGUUUUAAAUUUUAUUGUCUCUCUUAUAUCCUUUGCUAUAAUAACCAUAUCAUCAAUUCACAAGAGAAGAGAGUAAUCCACAGAUUUUUUAUAGUCUGUGAGAUAAUAGUGUGGGAGUAAUAUUGUAGUGAGUUUUGAGAAAUAAAAGUGUGUUGUUUCGUUUAUAAAUAGUAGUUGUUUUUGACACUGUCAAGUUGUAAUCACUAUAUGUAUUCCUCCAUUGAGUAUUUUACUCACCCCGUUAUAAUAUUUGGUGUCAUUGUUACUCUCUUGUUAUUGCUAUUUUUUGUGGAUAUUAUCCUGGGUGGAAAUAUUUAUUUUCCCAAUACUAAGAAUGUGGAGGUGGAGUGGAAUAGAUUAUUUAUGCACAUUCUAGGAUGGAACCACUAUGGUUUUGUUCAUAUUAAAGAGGAACUUGUUUCUAAUAAAUCUGGGUCAGGGGAUGUGUUAUGAAAUGAACCAUGGCAUGUGGUAUAUAGAGGUUGCAAUGAUAGCAAUAGUAGUGCUGGGUUUGGUACUUGCUUUAGUAGGAGGAGUAACAACGAGAGAGGACUUUGACCAAAAAGAUUAAUUUGAAGCUUCGAAGGGUUUUCAUUAUUAAGUGACAAAAUAGAAAUUUGUUUCAAAAAGAAAUUUUUAUAUUUAAAACUCAGAGUCACCACUUAGCAUAAUCCGGUGUGACAAGUCACCUUUGGAAAUCCUUUUCAAAAUGGUUUUAACUCUAUAACUGAUCUGCGAAUAGAGAUUCUAGUUAAGGAAUUCUGUUGACCGAGGGGGAGGUGUUAGGCACCCCUCGAUCCCGUGGUUCGACCACAGUCGCUUGGUGGAGCAUAUCGGCUAAUUUGACAUUAUGAAUAUAUAAACCCCACAAAAUUACACAAAACAAUCAAACAAACAAAUAAACAAAACAAAUAUAAAAUUAGUCCAGUCCGAUUAUUACAAUCCUGAAAUAGAAAAAUGCGAAAAUAUAAGCCUAUUCUAUUCUAUGCUAAUUCUAAACUACACUCCCUUGCUUUCUCUACCCGACGUUUCGGGACUUGAUCGUGCGUCAUCUUCAAGUAUAUGGUACUUCAAGCAUUCUCCGGAUAAAUCAAUACAAAUCCUUCAGGGCAUCCCCCGACCAAAUAAAUACAAUAGAUCUCAAUGCAUAAAUCAAAACCAUUCCACAAACAUUUCAUCAUUCAACAAUCACAAAUCAUAAGUUUUGCGUACCCCCUAUCGCUUCCCUAUCCUUAUGAUGGCCUAUCUUAUGCUAUUAUUAUGUUCAACAUAAUGAAUCAAAAUUAAUCCAAAUUCAACAACAUCCCUAUCCAUUUCAUGUCAAACAAUCAAUUCAAAUUACUUCAUUAAUCUCUGAUUCCCAUCCCCAAAUUUAUACACGACAGUUUAAACAUAAGAACAACUCUCCAUCCAUAUCAUCAUCGAUUUCAUGAUUACGACUACUUAUUUACGUAAAACAGCACUAAUUAUCAACAAAACUGUUCAGUCAACAAACAACGUACUACCACAACAUCCAUGCACCAAAUAUCAUAAACAAGGAAGUCAAAAGAGUAAAGAUUAGAAAUGGACCUUCAAAGAAUGAAUUUCUUUGAGAAUAAUGUUUAAGAAGGCCCGAACAUAGAAUCCCGAAUAAAAUACCUCGACAAUGAACUAAAAUCAAACUCGGUAUUUGAGAAAUUGCAACCAACGACAGACCACGAUGAGCAGACUGACCCAAACCAAAUGCAGUACCCACAUUGACUGAUUUCAAAAUCGACUUGGAUAAAAAUGGGUGACGCUGUUGUUGUUCUCCUGGACAUCAUAAAUUGAUUCGGACCAAAUUCAAAACCAGCAAGACAAACUCAAUACGAACUCCUAAAUUGAUAAUUUUGAACAGAAUUGCGAAUUGAAAACCAAAACUAGUUUGACCCAGAAUAGGAAUUGGAAAAACAAACCACGCACGAACCCAUUUCCGAUCCGGGGAAAACAGACCACCCCCUCCCAAAAUUUGGCAAGUUGACUGGGUUUCCCCUCACUUUUUUUGUUUUAUUCUCAGUUUCUAAUCUCCGAUCCCCCUCUCUCACACAUGAUUCACUAUUGUUCCCAACUAUUUUUUGUUCUCAAUAGCUGGGUGCAUGGAUGGAAGUGUGGAUUUCACUUCGGUAAGGGUCCUUUUUUGGUGACAGUGGUGUGUAUAUGUGAUAGUGUGUGUAGUUCUCUUGGGACCAAGAAAAAGGAAAAAGAAAUGGAGUAUGUAUGUGAUGGGUGAGGUCCUCCAUGAGAAUGAGUGUUGUUGUGAUGGUGGAGAAGAAAAGAAAAUUCCCCACUGUGUGUUGUACGUCUAUGGUGAAGAAGCCAUUAAGAUUAUUCUGUGUGGGUGUUGAGAAAGUGAGGAAAUUUUGAAGUGUUCUUUGUACCCUUGGUCAAUUGAGAGUGGUGAGUAUAUGGGUUUAUGUGUAUGUGUGAAUUGUGCCCCCCUCUAAUUCUCCUUCCUCAAUUUGGUAUUUUUUUAAGUAUAUAAAAAUGGAAAAGAUCGCUAUAAGCUGUAUCCCCCAAUUCCCGUGGGGCCCUCUUCCCUUUUUGUUGUAUGUGUAAUUUGUUAUGGACAAAGAAGGAAAAAACUUGAGAUGGAAAUAGGUGGGGUCACGUGGGUAGGUAGGGUAGGGGUAGGGUGUUGAUGAGGUGUAAAAAUUAGUUAGGAUAAAGGAAUAUUUUGGGAUUGGUGAUUUAAUUUGUUAGGAUUUAUUGUAUUUGUUUUCUUGUGGGGAAAGUAUAGAAUGGGUGAGGGUGACUUGGGAGGGACAAAAUUAGGUGUCUACAGUAUGCCCCCUUUGAAUGUAAACAUGAAGUGUUUUCAGUCAAAGAAGUAGACAACUAGACAAAAUUUUAUCCCGACCAUUAUUCAAAAAGAAUGAAACAGAAGGAAGGAGGGAAACCAAGUCUUGACUUUGGACAUCAUACUCAUUCCUAGUUAUGAGGGAAUCAAAUCACAGGUAUCUCAAAGGAUUGGAAGGAGAGGGACUAGACUGAGUUGGAGAGUCGAGUAAGGUUCCGGCGAGGUUCCAGUCCGUGACUCUGUCAUUACAUAAAAAAUGAAAAUUACGAGUUAAAACAUAAAUAAAAUUACAAAAAUUCUAUUUAUGCGGCUUCUUUUGGACUCUUGACUUGAGUUUCAUCACCCUAUUCUUCAGGCGGGAUCCUGACUUGAAAUUUCUUCAACUUGUUGCCUGACUUUCAAUUUCUUCUCCCUGUUCUCUAGGUGGGCUCCUGACUUGCUUUUUUUCAAUUUGUUGACUUUCAAUUUCUUCACCUUGUUGUUUGACUUUCCAUUUAUUCGCCCUGUGCUUCGGGCGGGCUCCAAUAUUGCUUGAAUUAUCAAAAUAAGGAAGUGCGUCUCCUUACAGAUGUUGCUAGAAUUACCAAAACAAGGAAGUAUGUCUCCUUACCAAUGUCGCUUAAAUUACCAAAACAAAGAAGUGUGUCUCCUUACCAAUGUUGCUUGAAUCACCCAAAUAAGUAAGUGCAUCUCCUUAUAAAUGUUUCUAGAAAUACCCAAACAGGAAAGUGCGUCUCUUUACCAAUGCCUCUUAAAUUACCAAAAUAAGGAAGUUCAUCUCCUUACCAAUGCCGCUUAAAUUACCAAAAUAAGGAAAUGUGUCUCCUUACCAAUGCAGCUUGAAUUACCCAAACAAGGAAGUGUGUUUCCUUACAAAUGUUGCUUGAAUUGUCCAAACAAGGAAGUGUGUCUCCUUACAAAUGUUGCUUGAAUUACCCAAACAAGGAAGUGCAUCUCCUUACAAAUACCACUUGAAUUACCAAACAAGGAAGUACGUCUCCUUACAAAUACCACUUGAAUUACCAAACAAGAAAGUGUGUCUCCUUACAAAUGUUGCUUGAAUUGCCUAAACAAGGAAGUGCUUCUCCUCGAGAUAUUGGAUUAUGAGCUUCACAAUGGUUUUUGAUUACCAGACCUGUGCAGCAACAUUGCCUCUUGUGUUUAUAGAAAUGAGAAUAUUACAUCCUCUGAUGUCUAGGCUUUGAAAUUCUUGAUCUGAAUGUAACAUGUGUUCUUGUUUCAUACAAAGAAAACUUGUGAGUUUAAAAACAUGGUGGCUGGUUUGUGGCUUUAGCUUUUGCAAAAAUGGCUCUUUCCCCCGUCACAUUUAACCUUGCUUCCAACCAUUAGCAUAUGUCAUCGACUUGCUGCAUCAUUGACCAAACUCAGAUUAUCAAGAGUGACUCUGAAACAAACACAAUAUCUAUGCUUUUCCGUGCUUCUCAGAUAAACCCUUUGAACCUUGGUAUUUCCAUGAGUUUCCAGACUUGUCAAUUGACAAAAAUUUCUGCAUGUCUUAUUUCGGCUCACAAUCAUGUCUCUUUCAUGUGUUGGCCUUUUGUCUUGCUUUGCGCAAUUGAAAAAGCUAGUAGCCAGUUUUGAAAUCUUUUCUCACUUGUUUUGAUAUAGACUUGACUCAAAGACAAGAGAAAAAUGGCGAUGACUUUUAUUUUGACAACUGACUCAAGAAAACAAAAUAAAAAACAAAAGAAGAAAGAAAAACAAUGAAUUUCCCAUUUGAAACAAAGAAAUGAAAAAUUAUCUAGAAAUGACAGUCAACUCUAAUGAUUGUGCCAUGCAUUUUGGAUUAAUCUGCCUGAUCUUUCCAUCCAAACUUUCUACCAAUUGUUGUUGAGUUAAUGGCCAUGAAACUGAGUUGUUUCUUUAGGUCAAUUGCCUUUAAGACCUCAUUUGGAUAGUGACACCUUGAAGGAUUUUUACCAACAAGCCUUUGUCAUUCUUUUUUUCUCAGCUCACUAUUUUCUUAUGGUGUUUGUGAGGGUUUUUCACCAAUGAGACUCUUAUUUACAUUUUUCCCAACUCACAGUCGUCUUACAGUACCCGUAAGGGUUUUCAUCGAUAAUACUCUCUCAUUUUUAUCUCUCUCGACUUACCAUCGUCUUAUGGUGCUCGUGAGGGUUUUCACUAAUAAGACUCUCAUUUUUAUUUAUCUCCUGAUUCCUUAGGCUGAGGAAGACAAAUAGUUCCAAAAAUGUGUCAUCAUAUCCCUUGCAUGCUUAGCCUUAACAUUCUCAAAGAUCUUUCUUUAGUUUUACAUUGGCCUUUGGAUAGGGUUAGAAAGAAAGGAUGACAUAAGGCUCAAACGACACUUGAAGUGGGGUAGGACUUACAACUUUUGGAAUCGACUCAAACAAUGAGGAUUAACCCAUGCCCCAGUUUCUUUGGCAAGGUGACUCUAAACUAUUUAUUUGGUUGGACCGAGCUCAGAGUAGGGCAGCCUAUGUAUCUCACCCUGAAAAGAAGAGAAUCAGUCACGCGUAGUUCUGGCGGCUUGUUUUGCUUGAUUCUGAUUUCUUUUUUUCUUUUGAAUUUUUUUUUCUUUGUGAUUUUCCUGACUUUAUUUUUCUUGACACUCUUUUUUCUUUUUGGACAUAUUUUUUCUCUCUUCUUAUUUUUUUUUGAAACUUUCUGACUCUAUUCUUUUGCUCGACACUUUUCUUUUGAGUUUUUUCCUGACUUUAUCUUGAUUCCAAAAGAGGGGUAUGAAAGAAAAUAGGACUAAAGCUCAAAUGGGGUAAACAAAGGAUGAUGCAAUGUUUGGAUAGCAGAAAUUCCUUCGUCAUAUCAAUCCUUAAAAAAUACAAGUACAUAUCAUGCAAUAUGGAAGUUAAAGAUGAAAGAUCAUUUGUGACAUCUUUUACAGCAUUAACUUUGACUGAGUCUAUGCGUCACUACUUCUUCCUCAAACUCCACCUUUGUUGUACAUUCCUCACAUCAAAUGACUCAUGCUUUCGUGAAGCUGAUUUUUCUGUCCCUCGGGAUCACACAUCCGCUAUUUGACCUAAUUGAGCAAUGUUUUUCAAUUGAUCAAAUUAUUCUUGUCAUUCUCAAAAUAAUUGCCUUAAUUUUCAAAGAACGUUUGAACUUGUCACCAAAUGUCUCAGCACUCUACCUAUUUUCUCAGAUGCUCUCUUUUUCUAACUUUAGCCCUCUGAUUCAAUGUUUCAUGGUUAAUCUGGAUUUUAAGAUCCAGCUGAAAAUUCUCCAGGCAUGUCAUAACACUAGAAUCAACAUAAAAUAUGAUGCGUAAAGAAAAUAAACACAUAUUUAAAAUACAAAGGGAAAGGGACACUUCAUUUAGUUGAAAUAAAAUAUAGAAAGGUUUGAACAUAGAAAACACAGGGACAAAACAAGAUAGAUCCUGAACUACAACCUUUAAAUAUUUGAAAAACAGAAAAGAAAAGAAAACAAACUACCAGACCUCUUCCUAGUAGGGAGAGGGGUGACUUCACAAUUGCUCAGCCUGACAUCUUAGCCACUGGUUUUCAUAUCAUCAUGACUAGAGCUUUUCUCACUGUCAAUGGUCUGCACCAUAAUUUAUUUAUCUUGAAUCAUGUUUUCUAUUUCGCUUUUCAAAGAACGACAAUCUUCAAUACUGUGACCCUGAACAUCAGAAUGAUAUGCACAUCGUACAUUAGCAUCAAAACUUCUUGAAUGUAGGUCAGGAGUAUACAUAAGGAGAGGAGUGAUCAUGCCCUACUAUACCAAUCUCAGGAAUAAACUUGCAUACGACUCUCUGAUUGGUGUGAAACUAUCUCUCAACUUCUGUCUCAUUUCAUCGUUUGUCUUAAAUUAAAAACCUGGCCUAGAAGGGCUUCGAUAUGUAUCUGGAGUUAAAGGAUGACUCGACAGAGUUGGCAUGAGCCAGUGUGGGUAAGAUGGAGGUUGAACAUAUGGUUGUGCAUUAUACACUUGAUAUGGAGGUGGGGAAAUGGAAAAUAAUGGAUUUUGGGAAAGAUUCUGUGGAGCUUGGGCAUAAACUUGGGUUUGAGCCUAUGGAUAAUGAUGGUGUGGUCCUCUUGACCGUGCCUAUUAUCCAACUACAAUGGCAGAUGCAUCUUCCUCAUACUUUUUCCCUCCGAAAUUUCCCAAACCUUUUUGAAUUGCUUGAGCAGUCGCUUUCAAUGUUGUAAAACUUACAAUGCGGUCGGUUUUAAUUCCAUCCUCUAUCAUCUUCCCCAUUUUAAGGACCUCAAUAAAUGGCUUUCCUAAUGCAGGUAACAAGUGUUAAUACUAUGUUUCAUCCUACGCUUGAAUAAAUACCUCUACUAUCUUACUUUCUUUCAUUAACGGUUUUACCCUAGCAGUUUGUUCAUGCCAUCUAAUCGCAUACUCUCUGAAAGUCUCAAUAUUUUUUUUCUUCUUGUUAGUUAGGGAUUUCUCAUCAGGAAUUAAAUCCACAUUGUAUUGGAAUUGUUGCACAAAUUCAUUAGCUAGGUCAUCCCAACUAAUCCACUUGUCGAUGUCUUGGUCAACAAACCAUUCCGAACCUAGGCCUGAAAGACUCUCACCGAAAUAUGCCAUGAGUAAUUCUUCCUUCCCCCCAGCACCCCUUAGUUGGUUGCAAUAACGUCUCAAAUGUGCUACAGGAUUGCCAUGUCCAUCAUACUUCUCAAACUUUGGCAUUUUAAAACCAAAAGAAAGAUGAACCCCUGGAAACAUGCACAGAUCUUUAUAUGAGAUAGUUUUCUGGUCAUUUUCUCUUGUUCUUCUGUUAUAACAGGCUUCUCAGCGUUAAGAGGAAAUUCAGACGGGUGAGUAUAUCCAUAAGGAUUAGUCGACUUAAAUGUGGGCUCAAUAGCAUGAUUUUAAUCAGCAAAAAUAUUCAAUACAGGCUCUCUCGCAGAGUGGGGAGGCACAACUUGUGGAUAAACCUCAAAAGUAGGAGCUUCGGGUGGGGGUGGUGCUGCAAAAACAUAAACAAUGGGUAGAGCCGAGCAUGUGGUAGCUUUUUGUUG